This is a long non-coding RNA of Pristis pectinata (smalltooth sawfish), 10395 nucleotides long. RefSeq lists it as uncharacterized. The record is from RefSeq and is a predicted model, not a curated record. The transcript is spliced from 5 exons. NCBI's taxonomy places the organism in Eukaryota, Metazoa, Chordata, Chondrichthyes, Rhinopristiformes, Pristidae.
AGAUUCAAACUCUACCCCAAGUCUCUGGAUGGUAUUGCUAAGGAAAAUCACGUAGAUGGCAAAGAGAAAGAAGUAAAAGAUAACCCUUUGGAAACUCCAGAAGUGAAGGGACAAUAGUAGAUCAUGUGACCAUCUAGUCCCUCCAACAUUGAGUGGCUUCUACCCACCCCUGCAAGAUAAUACAAGACACUCAACAUCUUAUCUCACACCUGGAGUUUGGUUGCUUGGGCAAGAGGCCAGAGUGUUACCAGUCCCUAUGUAAAGUAGCAUCAUAAACAAAAUCUGAGGCUAAAAUGCAGCCGAUUCUAGAACCAAGUUACACCUGGAGACAAUGUGAAAUGAAGUUACAAUUUUAGGAUCAUAAUAGCAGUAAAAUUGGAACAUAACCCAAAGGACUUAAAGCAGUUCUAUUUAAGACACCUUUGAAGUGAAGAUGGGGCCGUCCUUCCGCUCUCUUGCCGGAGGCCAACUCCCCGUACAGCAGGUCUUUCGGGAUCCUUCCAUCUGGCAUGCGAUGUACGUGGCCCAGCCAGCGGAGACGACGUUGUUGAAGCAGGGUGAAGAGGCUGGGUAUCUAAGCGCAGGUCAGGACCUCGUUGUUGGUGACUCUGUCAGUCCACUUGAUGUCCAGGAUGCGUCUCAGGCUACGAAGGUGGAAGGCAUUAAGACGCCGCUCCUGUCUGGAGUACUGAAGAACUCCAGUCGUGCACUGAAGAACAUUUUCAAAUUCUAUGGAAAUAUUGAAGCAAUUACACAGGCAUCAUGUGAAAUUAAGGAGGAACAAGUGUGUUUUGUGCAAAGUGUUGUGGUUUAUCUUGGCUUAUGGGUGGAUGCACAUAGCUUGCAGCCUAUAACAGGAAAGAUGCAAACCAUUAUAAAGACUCUAAAACCUGAGAACGUACUGAACUGAGGUCAUUCUUGACAUGGUACGAUAUUAUUUACAUUUUCUAUUGGAUUUGACAAAGUCCUAUUUAUCCUUGGAUCUUGCCUACAAAUAUAUAUAAGGUACAAAUAAGUAAUAAAGCUCUUCUUGUCAUUACAAUUUCACCCCUGAAAUUAUUGUUAGCAUGUAUGGCUUUUGCCAUUGGUCUUAGGGCAGUUAUAAGUUGGUUAUGACCAGGAAAACACACUGAACCAACAAAAAAUCAGAAGGAAGACUCUUGCAGUCUCAGAAUGUUCCUUCACAGAGGUCUUUCAAAAAUUAUCACUGGUAAUUUUGGCCCACAACAUCAACUUUACCACUAAUGGUACUAUUAUAAAUGAUAGGGUAUUCUCUUCUUCUAGACCAACCCAUAAAGGCUUGAAAAUGAGAUGUGAAAGGACAAUUUAUACCUAGUUCAAGUGAUUGACAAUCUUCUCAUACUUCUUCAUACUUCUUCUCAUGCACUUAGAGGCUGAUCAUGAGGACAAGAAAUAGAAGUAGCAAUAAGCCAUUUGGCCUGUUGAACAUGCUCCACCAUUCAUCAAGGUUGUAUCUGAUCCAGCUCUACACCAUUUCCCUGCACUAUCUGCAAGUCCCUCGAUUUUCUUAACAUCCUGAAAUCUAUGUUUUGAAUGAACUCAAUGAAUGAGCCUCCAUAGCUUUCUAGAGAAGCGAAUUCCAAAGAUUCAUCUCCUCCUGAGUGAAGUAAUUUCUCCACAUCUCAGUUCUAAAUAGACUAAUCUUUAUUUUGAGGCCGUGAGCACUAGUUGUAGAUGCUUCAGCUAAGGGAAACAUCCUCUCUCUGCAUCCAGCCCAUUGAACCUUUUAAGCAUUUGUGAAGUUUUAAUGAGAUCCUUCUCAUUCUUCUAAACGCUGGAGAGUACACCAAAACUGUAAGUAAUACGUUGGGUGUGGUCUCAACACAGCCAUACAUAAUUGCAGUGACAUGUUACUCCUGUACUCAGAUACUCUCGUAAUAAAGGCCAACAUACCAUUUGCUUACCUAAUCACUUACUACACCUGCAUGUUGUUUUCAGCAACUUGUGUACAAGGAUACCUGGGUCCCUUGGAACCUCAACAUACCCAAUCUCUCAAUGUUUAAAAGUUACGCUGCUUUUCUGUUUGUGUACCACAAAAGUGCAUAACUUUACAUUUUCCACAUUACAUUCCGUCUUGCCGUGUUCUUACUCAGUGUGUCUAAGUCCUCUUGAAGCCACUUUACAUCUUGUUCCCUUGCCACAGUCUCUAGUUUUGUAUCAUCAGCAAGCUUGGAAAUACGACAUUUAGUCCCCUCAGUCAAAUCAUUGAUAUAGAUUGUGAAUGAGCUGGGGCCCUGUGGUACCCUGCUAUUCACCGAAUACCAAUCUGAGAAAGAUUUAUUUAUUCUUUGCUUUCUGUCCAAUAACCAAAGUUGGAAGCAGGCAGAGGAAAAGCUAAGACAAUUUUAUUUCUGCCAAAGAUGAAUUGUCAUGCAAUCAGAAGUACUUCAGAUGGGCUAUGCAUGGGCCUGUUGCUUUAAGACUUAAGUUAUUGAUCAAGUUAUAUACAUGGCACACUUUUACAUGGGUAUGAAGGCAGUUGGUCAUGGUGUUGUAUAUCUCCAAGGUAUGGAUUGAGAUCUAGAGGAGCUGACCAUGCAAUAUGCUAUCUGUCAACGGUGCAGAUCACCACCCAUGAAAACAGCAAUGUAAGUGUGGGCAUAGCUAAAAAAAAAUCAUUUCAGUGAGAGCACAAUCAUUCCUUUGUCAUUAUUGUUGGUCAUUCUAUGUGAAUGGAAAUUAACCCCGUAGCAGUAACCUCUACAGCAGAACGUACAUUGGGUGAGCUCAGAACAAUUUCUGUAUCAUGGUCAACCAUUUAUGCAUGGGAUGGUUUUGUGGGAAAGGAUGGAAUCAGUAAUAGCUUUGUAUUUGCUGGUAAUUUAUCAUCCAACAGAGUAUAUGAAUAAUCUUCCAGAAUAGUCAAAGAUGCAUUAAAAAAAACAAGUACACAAGGAUUUCCUUUGUUCAGUGAAAGAAUAUUGGUAAAUUUAAUCAUAAAAUAUUGAACUAUUGCACAUAGCAGCACUGGGUACAUGCCAGUAGAACUCAUGGAAAGACAACAUUGACCAAGGUUGAGCUUAGUAAAUUUGGAUCAUCCUGACUGAAUGGAACAGAAACAAGAUUAGUGUCACAUAUACAAGCCAUUACAAGUAUCUAGUGGAGCUUUAGAAGUUAUUGUCCCAGAUCUACAUUUUGUUGGGUUUUGUUGGCAGUACCACAUAGAACUGCCAGUAUUAAUCCUUGUAAGUUCCAGAUUCCCAUUUGAAUGUCAAAGUCCUGAAUCUGCUGACCAAGUUGUUCUGGUGAAUUCACAGAGUCCAAUGACCGAAUAGGAGCUGGCUGGACUCCCCAGCAGAAGUUAGACUUUUUAAAUUAUUUGUAUUUACCACAAUGGAAUUCAUUCCUUAGAAGUGUUUAGAGCAUUUUAAAUGAUUUUAUUUCUUUCUAAAUUUUUAAUUUUUGUAUUUAAAUGGGUUAUUUCAUUUUAAAUGUUUUUAAAAUAUUUCUAAAUGUCAGGGAAUCUGUAAUAUCUUGGCAGCUUUGAAAGACACCAAAACUAUGGCAAUGAUUUGCUAUCAGCAAAGAUUUUCAGAAGAGCUUCAAGGGCAGCCCAUAUGUCUGACUUCUGGCCUGCCCAUAUGUCUGAGUUUCAUUGCACAUGGCUCUCACACAAAGCAGGACUUUGUACUUCUCUCUAGGAUGGUUCUGGCUCCCCAGAUUACCUUUCUGGACGCCCACAGCAUGAUGGAGAACAACGAGUCUCUUCACAGGGUGAAGCUGGGCAUCGCAGCAUGGUGGAAGAGAUGAAUUCAUUGAAUUGUCAGCAUGUGCCUUAAAUCUCAUUCAAACCACCUUCAACCCAAAAUCCUUUCUUUCAAUUACCUUUAAUCGUUAAUUUACUGACUUUAUUUUAAACAGUUGUGUACGGUGUGCCUUUUUUCACCUGUAACUGGUCAGAAAUUGACAACUUAUCUCAUGGUGAUGUAUCUCAUGAGGUUGAUGUGGAUUUGAACUCCAGUCUUGGGAGUGACAAAGUAUCCUGCUACCACCACACCACCCAGUCACGUAUUAUAGAACAUACACAGUACAGGCCUUUCAGCCCACAAUGUUGUGCCGACAUUUUAUCCUGCUCUAAGAUCUAUCUAACCCUUCCCUCCCACAUAGCCCCCUAUUUUUCUAUCAUUCAUGUGUCUAUCUAAGAGUCUCUUAAAUGUCCCUAAUGUAUCUGCCCCCACAGCCUCUGCCGGCAGUGCGUUCCAAUGCACCCACCACUCUCAGUGUAAAAAACUUACUCCUGACAUCCCCCUUAUACCUUCCUCCAAUCACCUUACGAAUAUAAUUUCAGUAUUUUCAAAUUUAAAUAUUUCUUUGAAGAAAGAUAAUAGGAAGGAAAACAUACUUAACUCUCAGAAUCGGUAAACAGAUAAUGAAGCACUAGCUGCAUUAUUGCGGAAUGAUAACUAAGUAUUUGCCAUUCUUUCCAGCUACUAGCUUCUAAGGCAAACCUGAAUAUUUUCAGAAAUAAUUUUAUUAAUGCUAGUAGAUCAGUUUAUUACUUACAUGUUGAGAGUAAGUGGAUCUACAUGGGUAUUUUUGUUCACAUUAUACAUAUUGCUCUGAACCCUUUGGUCUAAAUGAAAGAGAUGGAGAGAGAGAGAGAGAGAGAGAUAGAGAGAGGUAAAGAGAGAGAAAGAGAUAGAUAGAUAGAUAGAGAGAUAGAGACAGAGAGAUGAAGAGGGAGAGAGAUAGAGGCAGGGGCCAGGUUGGGGGGAGGGUCUGGAUCAUCUUUCCAGUUCCAAUGAAAGGUCAUUGAUCUGAACUGAAAUAUUUCUCUCUCCAUAGACACUGCCAAAUCUGCUGAGAAUCACUUACAUUUUUUGUUUAUAUUUCAGAUUUCCAGCUUCUUGCUUUUCAAUAAAAAAUAAGGAGGAAUCAAAGAAAAAUUGAGAUGCAAGGAAGGGGAUGGUAAUAGAUCACUGGCAGGCCUAGGAAGGAAGAACAGCUUGGCCUUGGAGUGCAGUUGAGUGUGGUGUGAGAUCAGUAGUAUUUAGGCAGAAAGAAAAUUAAAAUCUCAUAAGCAAAGACAUCUCUAAAUCCAUUUGCUAUAAAUGGAAUUGUAGCUUUUUGAUAAUUUUUCUACAACUCAUCCCAGAUUUAGAACAUUUAAAGUAACAUUAUCAGAAGGUUUUUUUCUCCCCCUCAGGCUCAGGCUGAGCAGAAAAUUGAUAGAGGUUGAAUUUCAAAGAUUUUUUUUGAUGCUAUUGCAGAUGUGUUUGGGCAGGUUUGUUGUUGCAACUUAAAUAGGCAAGUUCUUUCUUAUGGCAAUGUGGCUAAGCUAAAAGCCUGGCAGAGAAAAAAAAGUCUGCCUUAUGAUACUGAAUAAUGCAGAAAAUAAGCAAGCAAAGGCAUUAUUGCUUAAACUUUACUAAAAUGGAUAUAGAAAAUUGAUGAUUGACUGAAAAUUAAAAUUGACAGAUGUUCAAAGGUGAUAAGUGUUCUGAGGCAGUACAAUGGAGUUUUCUCAGAGCAACUUUGGCUUCUCUACCAUAACUUGGCUGGAGGUACAGUUAAGCCCUGCUUAUACCUUUAUACUUCUGAUACGUUUUCAGUGGGAGCAGCUCUGAAAAAGUUCCUGGUUAUUAAUGUUUUUUUUUAUAUGAGCAGCACAAUGGAAAUGUAAGUUGUUAUUUACUUCAGUUCACUUGUGAAGUAGGUAUUGACUUGCAAUCUCCAAGGAAUAAUUCCAAAGGUUAAGAUGAAUCAAAUAUUUUUUUGCCAUAAUGUUAAUUUACAUGAAGUUAAAUUAAGGUUUCCAUGUUGUAGAAUUGCUGAAUUCUUAUUGUCUGUUGUAGGCUCUAGAUCUUAAAAUGCUGUUAUACCACCAAUAUUUGCAGACUUUUCUCUUGUAGCACAGAUAAUCUUUGGAGCAGCACAGAUAGUUCAUAUUCAGUAGUGGGGACAGGAGGGAUAGGUUUUCCCAUUUAUUACCUGAGCAGUAAUCAGACCAACUGCAAUGCUCAGCCAUUCAGAAUUCAUUUGAUUUCCAUCCCAUUGAUCCAUGCUGUUAGGUGACCAACCAGGUGGUGGGAAUGAAAAUCUGUCUGAUGGUGAAACUAUUUUAUCUUUCCAUAAAACUUUUUCUUUUACUCUCCAAUUAUUCUUCUGACUUGAAACUUUAGUCUUCUAAUGCCUAAUUAAUCCAAGGAAACUGAAAAUAAAUCUCCAAGUUAUAAUCUUCACAUAUGAUGCUGGAAGUUGACCACAGAAACAUUACAGCUGAGAUUUAGGCUGUGUUUCACCUAGUUAGCCUUGAUAGCCACAUUUCUCAUCUAUAACAAACUAGAUACUCCUUUUUCAAGCCCAUGACUAUACACUGGGAAUAAAGCCUUGUCUCAGCCCAUAUCACACAUGAGGCCACGUUGGCUUUUUAAAUCUUUGUGGAUCAUUCAAUUUCUCACAAUAAAUUAGAUGGCACACUUUUGCUUAAAGGAGAAUGUUAUACCACAUAAUGUACACUGCAUUUCUCAGAAGUAAAUACUCAACUGAUUAGGCAGAAUCUGUAGAGAACAAGUCAGAGUUAGGAAGCUGAGUUAAACUGAUUUCAAGUCGAUGACCUGUUCCUCUGUUUCUCUCUCCAGAGAUCCUGCCUGACUAUGUCCAGAAUUUUCCAUUUCCAUUUCAGUGUUGCAGGGUUUUUGUUUGUGAUUUGAUUGAAUUAUUCAGAUGCAUUUAACCUGAUCUGUCUCUUUAAGGUCACAAAGACCAAUUGCUGAAAAGAUUUUGUAGAUACAGUACUUGUAAGUUCCCAGCAGCAAGUCAGAAGGAACUGACAUGUAGCAUUUAUUUAUUUAUUUAUUAAUUGUAGCAGAUACUUAAUGGGCUGGUAUUUACAUUGUGAAUGUGUGAACACCAAUUGGUGUACAUAGUUCCCCCUAAGUAAAUUCCCUGAAAGAGCGACAUUUCACUAAAGGGUGAAGUGUAAUGUUUUUAAUAGCAAUUUUGAGUGUUUCUUUUUGCAAUAACAUGCUUAGGAUGAGGCUUACUGUAUUUAGUCAUUUUCUGUUCCAUCUCUAGCAUAAAUGCUACAGUUAAAAUAUGCUGCAAAGCUUAAUAUAAAUUUGUAUAAUCUUGAAUAAUUUUGCAUAAUUUAUGUUUAAUUUAUGUUUUUCUUGUGAAUAUUGUGUCUCUAAUGCUAUGUGCCUGUGAUGCUGCUGCAAGUAAGUUUUUCAUUGCACCUGUGCACACAAGUACUUGUGCAUAUUGGUAUUGGUUUAUUAUUGUCACAUGUACUGAGGUACAGUGAAAAGCUUGUCUUUCAUACCGUUCAUACAGAUUAAUUCAUUACCACAGUACAUCUAAGUAAAACAAUAACACAAUGCAGAGUAAAGUGUUACAGUUACAGAGGAAGUGCAUUGCAGGUAGACAAUAAGGUGCAAGGCCAUAACAAGGUAGAUUGUGAGGUGAAGAGUCCAUUUUAUUGUACCAGGGGACUGUUCAAUAGUCUUAGCAGGAUAGAAGCUGUCCUUUAGCCAAGUGGUAUGUGCUUUCAGGCUUUUGUAUCUUCCGCCUGAUGGGAGGGAGGAGAGAGAGAACGUCCGGGGUGGGUGGGGUUUUUGAUCAGGCUGGCUGCUUUACCGAGGCAGCGAAAAGUGUAAACAGAGUCUAUGGAGGGGAGGAUGGUUUCUAUGAUGUGCUGACCUGUGUCCACAACUCUCUGCAGUUUAUUGCAGUCAGAGGCAGAGCAGUUGCCAUACCAAGCCGCAAUGCAUCCAGAUAGGAUGCUUUCUGUGGUACAUUGAUAAAAAUUGGUGAUUGUCUAAGGGGUCAUGCCAAAUUUCUUUUGCGUCCUGAGGAAGUAUAGGUGCUGGUGAGCUUUCUUGGCCGUGGCACCUAUGUGGUUGGACCAGGACAGGCUGUUGGUGAUGUUCACUCCUAGGGACUUAAAUCACUCAACCCUCUCGACCUCAGCACCAUCCCCCUUCCUGAAGUCAAUGACCAGCUCCUUCAUUUUGUUGACAUUGAGGGAAAGUUUGUUGUCAUGACACCAUGUCACUCGGCUCUCUCUCUCCUUUCUGUACUCCAACUCAUCCUUAUUUUAGAUACGGCCCACUACAGUGGUAUCAUCUGCAAUCUUGUAGGUGGCGUUAGAGCAGAAUCUGGCCACACAGUCAUGAGUGUAUAGGGAGUAGAGUAGAGGGCUGAGGACACAACCUUGUCGGGUACCAGUGUUGAGAAUAAUCGCGCCGGAGGUGUUGCUGCCUAUCCUCACUGAUUGCGGUCUUUUGGUCAAGAAGUCAAGGAUUCAGUUGCAAAUGGAGGUGUUGAGUUCCUGAUCUAGGAGUUUGGAGGAUAAACUCGAUUUUGACUUUGAAGAAUUUAAUAACAAAUCUAUUUGUAUUUGAGUAAAUGAAGCAACUCAGGAUCUGUUGAGUAUUGCUUCCUUUGGAAGAAAGGUGGAACUGGCUAAAUAUAUAUAAGGAUGAUGAUGAUGCAGACUUUGCAAACAAACCCUAUUACAGAAAUGUGUUGUUUUCACUGUGAACAAAGUUUCAUACAUAUGAAAAAUAUUGUAGCUAUCGUUUGAAGCUACAAGGAAAGUAAUGUAGAGUGGCUUUGGAUCUGCUUAAAGCCUGUCAAGGACAUUAAACCAUUGCUGCAAGGCACACCAAUGAAUACCAGGGUUGUAGGUCAUUACUCGGAAAGUCAAGAGCAGCUCAACAGUGUCAUGAAUUGGCCUUACAAGAGACAAUGGCCGAUCAUCUUUGUGCACCAAUUCCAGUUCCAACACCAUGCCUGUGCAGAGGGCACAGAAAUCAUCAGGCAAGUAUGGGACCACAGUCAGGUCUGGGAGGAGGUGGGGGAGAGAGGGCUGAGGGUGGCAUUAGGGAUCAGAAGGAGAUUCAGGUAUGACAUCUACUUUACUGUGAGCAGUUGAAGGUUCUGGAUGUGAGAGAAGUCGGCCUGCAAUUGUCAGUUUUACACAGGGUCUGGGAAGGGAAGGGAAGGGAAGAAGGCUAGUGCGAUUGGGUGAUCAGUCAGUGGGGGAGUUGGGUGAUUGGUGUGAGGAGAAGUCUGAUCAAGUGGUUAAUGUUUGAGUGGGAUCUAACCAGGUGCUUGGAUGGGCGGUGUCUGGUGAGAUGAUCGGUGGAUGGGAGCUCUGACCAGUUUAACCGCAGGUAAGGCAAUGGGGGUGGGGAGGGGGUUGUUGUAUUACCGGGGGUUGGUGAAAGAGUCUCAUGAUCUGAGCAGAUGCAUAGAUAAUCUUAGACCAAGAAUCGCAGAGUUCGUGACUCACUAAUUUUCUUCCACAAUUUCACGUCCCCACAAACUGCUGAGGAGUGACCUUCGAGAUUUAAACAACAGACAGACAGACAGAGUCUUUUUCCGAGGUUAGGGGAGUCUGAAACUAGAGGGUACGGAUUUAAGGUGAGAGGGAACAAACGUGACGGACAUCAGAGGGUAUGUGGAAUGAGCUGCCAGAGGAAGUGGUAGAGGCAGAUACAAUAACAGCACUUAAGAGGCAUUUGGACAGGUAGCGGGAUGUGGAUCAAAUGUAGGCAAAUGGGAUAAGCAUAGAUAGGCAUCACAGUCAGCAAGGAUGAUUUCGGUAGAAGAGCCCAUUUCUGUUCUGUACAACACUAUGACUCUAAACUGCAUGUAAUGCACAAAAGCAUCUAGUUUUUAAGUAAUGCACAGAACAAUCUAAUUUCUGAGGAAGCAUGUGGAUAUAAGUUGCCUGUUUGACUGAGGAGCCAUUAAAACAAGGCCCCGUCAGAUCUGAAAAUCAAAUUGUGCACAAGUUGGAGGCCGUGUUUCUUGCACCUGCCACAAAAAUUAAGCUUCAGAAAUACAAGAGACUGCAGAUGCUGGAAUCUGGAGCAAAAAACAAGGUGCUGGAGAAACUCAGCGGGUCAGGCAGCAUCGGUAGAGGGAAACGGACAGUCGACAUUUUGGGUCAAACCCCUUCAUCUGGACUGUCCAUUUCCCUCUACAGAUGCUGCCCGACCUGCUGAGUUCCUCCUGCAGCUUGUUUUUUGCUUCAUUGGCUUUACAGUGGCAAAUGUGUAAAGAUAUUGAAAGAGACUAUCUGAAUGCAAGUCUUUAUAUGUAAAAAUAGCAAAGACAUAUCAAGAGCCAGUGUUUUAUGCUAUCAUUCCUGGAUUCUUUUAAAUUAUUUUACUUUAAUAAACUGUUUUUAAAACCUUUAAUUAUUUCAAAACUCACUAAUGGCUGCCUGUAGUACAAAAAUAGCAAGGUAACACAACUGUGUAAACAUGAAAUUUAUGACAAUACUUUUGGGAUGGAUUAUAUCUGUAGCAUAAAGAAUGUAUCAUGAACUUACAAAGUGCUAGAAAUAAACUAAGAAUGUUUCAGGUUGGUCUCUUCAUAUUUGGCCACUUUUUCAAGGCAGUUUUGGGAGUACUUUUUACU